RNAcentral lists this transfer RNA (74 nucleotides) under Methanobrevibacter sp. Its description in RNAcentral is "tRNA-Ala". It matches the Rfam family "tRNA". Rfam says of the family: Transfer RNA (tRNA) molecules are approximately 80 nucleotides in length. Their secondary structure includes four short double-helical elements and three loops (D, anti-codon, and T loops). Further hydrogen bonds mediate the characteristic L-shaped molecular structure. tRNAs have two regions of fundamental functional importance: the anti-codon, which is responsible for specific mRNA codon recognition, and the 3' end, to which the tRNAs corresponding amino acid is attached (by aminoacyl-tRNA synthetases). tRNAs cope with the degeneracy of the genetic code in two manners: having more than one tRNA (with a specific anti-codon) for a particular amino acid; and 'wobble' base-pairing, i.e. permitting non-standard base-pairing at the 3rd anti-codon position. The record is from RNAcentral. Lineage: Archaea; Methanobacteriati; Methanobacteriota; Methanobacteria; Methanobacteriales; Methanobacteriaceae.
GGGUCAGUAGUUCAGUUGGAAGAACGCUUCAUUAGCACUGAAGAGGUCACGGGUCCGAAUCCCGUCUGUAUCCA